GAAAUGCGAUAAGUAAUGUGAAUUGCAGAAUUCAGUGAAUCACCGAAUCUUUGAACGCACCUUGCGCUCCUUGGUAUUCCGAGGAGCAUGCCUGUUUGAGUGUCAUGGAAUUCUCAACUCUAUUUGCUUUUGUGAAUAGAGCUUGGAUUUGGAGGUUUAUUGCUGGUACUUGUGAUCGGCUCCUCUUGAAUGCAUUAGCUCGAACCUUUGCGGAUCAGCUAUCGGUGUGAUAAUUGUCUACGCCGUUGCAGUGAAGCAUAUCAAUGGGCUCGGCUUCCAAUCGUCCUUUACUGGACAAUGACUUUGACCUUUGACCUCAAAUCAGGUAGGAUUACCCGCUGAACUUAAGC
This 350-nucleotide unclassified non-coding RNA is filed under the name plant metagenome. Its description in RNAcentral is "partial contains 5.8S ribosomal RNA, internal transcribed spacer 2, and large subunit ribosomal RNA". The stretch from base 1 to 105 matches the Rfam family "5.8S ribosomal RNA", at positions 50 to 154 of the family's 154-position model. The record is from RNAcentral.